Long non-coding RNA from Mustela erminea (ermine), 1161 nucleotides. RefSeq lists it as uncharacterized. Lineage: Eukaryota; Metazoa; Chordata; Mammalia; Carnivora; Mustelidae. The record is from RefSeq and is a predicted model, not a curated record. The transcript is spliced from 3 exons.
GAAAGAACAUAGACAUGAAAGGUGUGAAAGUAUCAAGUAUCCAAGUUUCACUGUGAAUUUUAGCUGGUGGGGCAAAAGAAAUUGACACUCGAAAUCAUAGAUGAUGUGUUGUGGUGAUGAUUUAUACAAGAAUGACAAAGUAGAACACAAAACAAAGAAAAAUGGCCUUACCUAUAUAUCAAAAGAUUAGCCAGUGAAGGAUUUCCUUCAUUCAAUUUCCCAUUUCCUGGACUCUUCUGAUCCUUCAAGUCUACAGACAGCACCUUUUUGCUCAGGUACUAUGUAAAGUGGAGAGCGCCCUCAAGGGAAACCAUGUAAAUGUGGAUCUUGCCCAAUGAGUGUGGUUCCUUUCUUGAGAUGGCUGAAGUAUCUUUACUAACUGCCCACUUUGGGUUGCCCUCCAGUAACUUCAAGAGGUUGUUUUUGUGUUCAUCCCCAGAGUUUAAUUGUUACCUGUGGGAGGGUUAGUCUAAUACAAGCUGCUCUACCACUCCCAGAACCAUAACUCCUACUGUAUUGCUUGAAAGAGGCCAAAUUUAGACAUUCAGAGGAGUGCUUUUAGUGGUACAUCGACAGUAUACCGUGGCAGAGAUGGCUCAUUGCCUCCCAACACCCAUGUUCUUUUUCUUCCUCAGAAACACAGCCCCAGUUUGAUAUGGAGUCACAUUUCCCAGUCUCCCAGCAACAUAAGUUCUGGCUGGUGAGAUGUAAGCAGAAAUUGUUGGAAGGAAAUUUAUGGAGGUCUCCUCAAGAGAGCAAGAGACAGCAGAAGAAAGACCCUUUAUCCUUUAUUUCUUCUCAUUUUCCAGUAUAUAGUGUGGACAUAAUGGCUGGGAUCUCAGCGUCCAUCUUGGGUCAUGAAUCGACAAUAGAAAGAUGUAGCGCAAAGUUAAAAGGAGAGUAGGUCCGAAUUUCUGGGGAGUUGCUCUGCCAGAACUGCCUACAACCCGUCUUCUUUCAAAUAAGUGAAAUGUAAAUUUUUAUCUUAUUUCAGCCAUUGUUGGUAGUAGUUGAGGCUAACCCUAAGCGAUGUAAGUCCAGUGAGGCCCUCAUAACAAGUAAUGCACCAAUAAAUACCAGUAUGCCCAUUGUAUAGGACUUUUUUUUUAAUUAACUUUUUAAUUUUUUUAUAAACAUAUAAUGUAUUACUAGCCCCAGGGG